ACUGAAAAUGCUUAGAUGAGCUUCCUAGCUCCAUAAACA
This 39-nucleotide transfer RNA is filed under the name Lepus timidus (Mountain hare). Its description in RNAcentral is "partial tRNA-Phe". Lineage: Eukaryota; Metazoa; Chordata; Mammalia; Lagomorpha; Leporidae. The record is from RNAcentral.